This 432-nucleotide ribosomal RNA is filed under the name Cutibacterium acnes. Its description in RNAcentral is "bacterial SSU rRNA". It matches the Rfam family "Bacterial small subunit ribosomal RNA", at positions 72 to 517 of the family's 1533-position model. Lineage: Bacteria; Bacillati; Actinomycetota; Actinomycetes; Propionibacteriales; Propionibacteriaceae. The record is from RNAcentral.
GCCCUGCUUUUGUGGGGUGCUCGAGUGGCGAACGGGUGAGUAACACGUGAGUAACCUGCCCUUGACUUUGGGAUAACUUCAGGAAACUGGGGCUAAUACCGGAUAGGAGCUCCUGCUGCAUGGUGGGGGUUGGAAAGUUUCGGCGGUUGGGGAUGGACUCGCGGCUUAUCAGCUUGUUGGUGGGGUAGUGGCUUACCAAGGCUUUGACGGGUAGCCGGCCUGAGAGGGUGACCGGCCACAUUGGGACUGAGAUACGGCCCAGACUCCUACGGGAGGCAGCAGUGGGGAAUAUUGCACAAUGGGCGGAAGCCUGAUGCAGCAACGCCGCGUGCGGGAUGACGGCCUUCGGGUUGUAAACCGCUUUCGCCUGUGACGAAGCGUGAGUGACGGUAAUGGGUAAAGAAGCACCGGCUAACUACGUGCCAGCAGCCG